AGCUAUAAUAUCUAAAACAACCCUUGAUGAUAAUGCUGCGUAUAUUGCUGAUUUUACUGAAGCAGGAAUGAUAUCUGAAACAACCCCUGCUAAUAAUGCUGCACAUACUGAUGUUACUGAAACAAUUGAGAAGCCUGAUGAUACUGGUGAUCACAGUGCUGAUG
Long non-coding RNA from Xenopus tropicalis (tropical clawed frog), 164 nucleotides. RefSeq lists it as uncharacterized. The transcript has 3 exons. The record is from RefSeq and is a predicted model, not a curated record. NCBI's taxonomy places the organism in Eukaryota, Metazoa, Chordata, Amphibia, Anura, Pipidae.